GCGGCAAUAGCGCGGUGGUCCCACCUGACCCCAUGCCGAACUCAGAAGUGAAACGCCGUAGCGCCGAUGGUAGUGUGGGGUCUCCCCAUGCGAGAGUAGGACACUGCCAGGC
Molecule: ribosomal RNA, 112 nt
Filed under: Serratia marcescens
Lineage: Bacteria; Pseudomonadati; Pseudomonadota; Gammaproteobacteria; Enterobacterales; Yersiniaceae
Also listed under: 93 other names
Source: RNAcentral